UCUGACUCAUCAACCACCAGGUGCUGCUUCCUGGUCAGCGUAAUUGACUUCAGCAUUAUCGUCUGAAACGUCAACUUCUAUCUUCCUGACCUUUUUGCUGGGAGUCUCCGAUGUCAGAGACAGUGCCCUAUUCACAUGGGACGACGCGGUGUUCACUUCGCGAGGAGCUUCGAUUUCAACAACAGAUGCAGUUGGGUGUGGGGGAUGGGACAUAGCACUUGAC
Long non-coding RNA from Thrips palmi, 223 nucleotides. RefSeq lists it as uncharacterized. The transcript has 3 exons. NCBI's taxonomy places the organism in Eukaryota, Metazoa, Arthropoda, Insecta, Thysanoptera, Thripidae. The record is from RefSeq and is a predicted model, not a curated record.